This 301-nucleotide ribosomal RNA is filed under the name uncultured bacterium. RNAcentral describes it as "partial 16S ribosomal RNA". It matches the Rfam family "Bacterial small subunit ribosomal RNA", at positions 509 to 807 of the family's 1533-position model. The record is from RNAcentral.
CAGUAGCCGCGGUAAUACGUAGGGUGCGAGCGUUAAUCGGAAUUACUGGGCGUAAAGCGUGCGCAGGCGGUUGUGUAAGACAGGUGUGAAAUCCCCGGGCUUAACCUGGGAACUGCGCUUGUGACUGCACAGCUAGAGUAUGGCAGAGGGGGGUGGAAUUCCACGUGUAGCAGUGAAAUGCGUAGAGAUGUGGAGGAACACCGAUGGCGAAGGCAGCCCCCUGGGCCAAUACUGACGCUCAUGCACGAUAGCGUGGGGAGCAAACAGGAUUAGAUACCCCAGUAGUCCCUGUCUCUUAUAC